AGCGAACGCUGGCGGCGUGCCUAACACAUGCAAGUCGAACGUGAAAUGGGGCAACCCAAAGUAAAGUGGCGUACGGGUGAGUAACACGUAGGUAAUCUACCCUAGAGUCUGGAAUAACCGGCCGAAAGGCUGGCUAAUACUGGAUAGAGCGAUCGAAAUCCGUAAUUGGGUUUUUCGGAAGGGAGCUCGUAAGAGCCUUCG
RNAcentral lists this ribosomal RNA (201 nucleotides) under uncultured bacterium. RNAcentral's name for it is "partial 16S ribosomal RNA". It matches the Rfam family "Bacterial small subunit ribosomal RNA", at positions 29 to 235 of the family's 1533-position model. The record is from RNAcentral.